GAUGAUGUAGUUUAAUGGUAGAGCGUAGGAAUCAUAAUCCUAAUGUUGUAGGUUCAAAUCCUACCAUCAUUA
This 72-nucleotide transfer RNA is filed under the name Phytophthora fragariae. It matches the Rfam family "tRNA". From Rfam's summary of the family: Transfer RNA (tRNA) molecules are approximately 80 nucleotides in length. RNAcentral also lists the same sequence under 1 other name. Lineage: Eukaryota; Oomycota; Peronosporomycetes; Peronosporales; Peronosporaceae. The record is from Rfam by way of RNAcentral.